CUGAUAUUAAAGAAACAGUUAAUAGUAAUUUGCCAUCAUGUUGUGCUUGUGUGGUUUGUAAAGUCCCUGUGGAGAGCCCGUCGCCCCCCCAGCUCGCUGACCUCUAUAACAGCGCUGCAGGCCGUAAAAUCGCCUCAACCAUUAAACAGCGGCACAACUCGGACCCCCCCCUGAAAAACACCCUGCCGCUAAAAUUAGCCUGCACAUCGACCGGCAUCGAUCCGGCAGCCCUACUUCUGCAGCGCCGCUCUGCUACCGGUUCAUGGUGUGACCCGAGGAGACGACCAGGAAACAACAAUACUACUUUUCUUUAGCGUAGGAAAGGCGCUUCAGUGUUUCCUUUACUAGCGCCUUUAGCGUAGAAAAGGCGCUUCAGCGUUUCCUUUACUAGCUCCUUUAGCGUAGGAAAGGCGCUUCAGCGUUUCCUUUACUAGCUCCUUUAGCGUAGGAAAGGCGCUUCAGCGUUUCCUUUACUAGCUCCUUUAGCGUAGGAAAGGUGCUUCAGUGCUUCCUUUACUAGCCCCUUUAGCAUAGAAAAGGCGCUUGUGUUUCCUUUACUAGCUCCUUUAGCGUAGGAAAGGUGCUUCAGUGCUUCCUUUACUAGCGCCUUUAGCAUAGAAAAGGCGCUUGUGUUUCCUUUACUAGCUCCUUUAGCGUAGGAAAGGUGCUUCAGUGUUUCCUUUACUAGCUCCUUCAGCGUAGGAAAGGUGCUUCAGUGUUUCCUUUACUAGCUCCUUUAGCGUAGGAAAGGUGCUUCAGUGCUUACUUUACUACCCCCUUUAGCAUAGAAAAGGCGCUUGUGUUUCCUUUACUAGCUCCUUUAGCAUAGGAAAGGUGCUUCAGUGUUUCCU
Gasterosteus aculeatus aculeatus (three-spined stickleback) is the source of this 851-nucleotide long non-coding RNA. The record is from Ensembl. Lineage: Eukaryota; Metazoa; Chordata; Actinopteri; Perciformes; Gasterosteidae.